GACGAACGCUGGCGGCGUGCUUAACACAUGCAAGUCGAACGGAAAGACCCUGCGUUUGUGUGUUUCUCGAUUGGCGAACGGGGGAGUAACACGUGAGUAUCCUGCCCUUAACUGUGUGAUAACUUCAGGAAACUGGGUCUAAUACCGGGGAUGAUCUCCUGCUGCAUAUGGGUGGUUGGAAAGUUUCGGCCGUUGUGGCUGUACUCGAGGGUUAUCAGCUGGUUGGUGUGGUAGUUACGUACCAAGCCUUUGAGGGGUAGCCGGCCUGAGAGGGUGACCGGGGACAUUGGGACUGAGAUAGGGCCCAGAAUGCUAUGGGAGGCAGUAGUGGGGAAUAUUGCACAAUGGGGGGAAGCGUGAUGCAGCAACGCCGCGUGCGGGAUGAUGGGCUUCGGGUUGUAAACCGAUUUCGAAUGUGACGAAGCGUGAGUGACGGUAAUGGGUCAAGAAGCAACGGCUAACUACGUG
Molecule: ribosomal RNA, 468 nt
Filed under: uncultured bacterium
Lineage: Bacteria
Description: partial 16S ribosomal RNA
Rfam family: Bacterial small subunit ribosomal RNA
Source: RNAcentral